Molecule: ribosomal RNA, 580 nt
Filed under: Talaromyces funiculosus
Lineage: Eukaryota; Fungi; Ascomycota; Eurotiomycetes; Eurotiales; Trichocomaceae
Description: LSU rRNA
Rfam family: Eukaryotic large subunit ribosomal RNA
Source: RNAcentral
AUUGCCUCAGUAACGGCGAGUGAAGCGGCAAGAGCUCAAAUUUGAAAUCUGGCCCCCUCGGGGUCCGAGUUGUAAUUUGCAGAGGAUGCUUCGGGUGCGGUCCCCAUCUAAGUGCCCUGGAACGGGCCGUCAUAGAGGGUGAGAAUCCCGUCUGGGAUGGGCGGCCGCGCCCGUGUGAAGCUCCUUCGACGAGUCGAGUUGUUUGGGAAUGCAGCUCUAAGCGGGUGGUAAAUUUCAUCUAAAGCUAAAUACUGGCCGGAGACCGAUAGCGCACAAGUAGAGUGAUCGAAAGAUGAAAAGCACUUUGAAAAGAGAGUUAAACAGCACGUGAAAUUGUUGAAAGGGAAGCGUUGUCCACCAGACUCGCCCGGGGGGGUUCAGCCGGCACGUGUGCCGGUGUACUCCUCUCCGGGCGGGCCAGCAUCGGUUUGGGCGGCUGGUGAAAGGCCCCGGGAAUGUACCACCCUCCGGGGUGUCUUAUAGCCCGGGGUGCCAUACAGCCAGCCUGGACCGAGGCCCGCGCUUCGGCGAGGAUGCUGGCGUAAUGGUGGUCAACGGCCCGUCUUGAAACACGGACCCA